UCUCUUAUAACAAAAAAUAUAGGAUAAGUGUUUAUAGAACCAAGACCAACAAGGGGUCAUUAAAUAGAAAUAUACACAAAAUUUCUUAAUUACAAAAAUACUGUUCAUCAGAGUGCAGACAAAAUAGGCACUUGCGAAUAUUCUAGCAAUCCAAGGAAGUAUCAAGGUAAGCUUCAAGGGGAAACAUUGUGUAUGACUCAUCACUAUCAUCAUCUGGGAGGUCCCAGCAUAGAAAGAGUGAGUUAUAUGAAACUCAGUAAGGGAAAUCGUAUUAAAAU
Molecule: long non-coding RNA, 278 nt
Filed under: Carica papaya (papaya)
Lineage: Eukaryota; Viridiplantae; Streptophyta; Magnoliopsida; Brassicales; Caricaceae
Description: long non-coding RNA (CPAP_LNC002532)
Source: RNAcentral